Long non-coding RNA from Mauremys reevesii (Reeves's turtle), 261 nucleotides. RefSeq lists it as uncharacterized. The record is from RefSeq and is a predicted model, not a curated record. Lineage: Eukaryota; Metazoa; Chordata; Testudines; Geoemydidae. The transcript is spliced from 3 exons.
GGGAGGGACUGGACGCCUGGUGCUUUCGAAUCUCAGCCCAGGGGAUGCUGGGGAGUAUCGGUGCUGGGCCAACAAUUCCUACGGGUCGGCCAGCCGGGCUCUGUGUGUGCACGUGCAGCACCCGCCUGGGCCCCCCAACAUCACUGGGACCCUGACCAGGAACGGACACCCCGUGCCAGAUGCGUGGGGAGCUGAGGGCGAUGUCGUGUCUCUGGAGACCCAGGAGGGCGACUCCCUGAGCCUGAGCUGUGAGGCUGGGAG